This 646-nucleotide ribosomal RNA is filed under the name uncultured bacterium. RNAcentral describes it as "bacterial SSU rRNA". It matches the Rfam family "Bacterial small subunit ribosomal RNA", at positions 232 to 885 of the family's 1533-position model. The record is from RNAcentral.
CGCGGCCUAUCAGCUUGUUGGUGGGGUAAUGACCUACCAAGGCGGCGACGGGUAGCCGGCCUGAGAGGGUGUACGGCCACAUUGGGACUGAGAUACGGCCCAGACUCCUACGGGAGGCAGCAGUGGGGAAUAUUGCACAAUGGGCGCAAGCCUGAUGCAGCGACGCCGCGUGGGGGAUGAAGGCCUUCGGGUUGUAAACUCCUUUCGCUAGGGACGAAGCUUUGUUGUGACGGUACCUAGAUAAGAAGCACCGGCUAACUACGUGCCAGCAGCCGCGGUAAUACGUAGGGUGCGAGCGUUGUCCGGAAUUACUGGGCGUAAAGGGCUCGUAGGUGGUUUGUCGCGUCGUCUGUGAAAUUCUGGGGCUUAACUCCGGGCGUGCAGGCGAUACGGGCAUAACUUGAGUGCUGUAGGGGUAACUGGAAUUCCUGGUGUAGCGGUGAAAUGCGCAGAUAUCAGGAGGAACACCGAUGGCGAAGGCAGGUUACUGGGCAGUUACUGACGCUGAGGAGCGAAAGCAUGGGUAGCGAACAGGAUUAGAUACCCUGGUAGUCCAUGCCGUAAACGGUGGGCGCUAGGUGUGAGGGUCUUUCUACGACUUUCGUGCCGUAGCUAACGCAUUAAGCGCCCCGCCUGGGGAGUACGG